This 277-nucleotide ribosomal RNA is filed under the name uncultured Neoheteromita. RNAcentral's name for it is "partial 18S ribosomal RNA". The stretch from base 107 to 277 matches the Rfam family "Eukaryotic small subunit ribosomal RNA", at positions 738 to 946 of the family's 1831-position model. The record is from RNAcentral. Lineage: Eukaryota; Cercozoa; Glissomonadida; Viridiraptoridae.
GAUUUCUGGCGAACCGUUGCGGCCCGUGCUCGUUUCGGGCGUGUGUGCCGUGUCGUGUUUGUGAUCCUUCCAGAGAGCUGCGUCUACCAUUCACUGCCGGACGUACGUGAUCUGGAUCGACUACUUUGAAAAAAUUAGAGUGAAUACAUUAGCAUAAUAAUAAUUUAGGACUUCGGUUCUAUUUCGGACUGAAGUGGUGAUUGAUAGGGACAGUUGGGGGUGCUAGUAUUCCGCGGCCAGAGGUGAAAUUCUUGGAUUCGCGGAAGCUAACUACUAU